UGGGCAACCUGCCCCAGACACAGGGAUAACCCCGGGAAACCGGGGCUAAUACCGGAUACUCCGGUCGAACCGCAUGGCUCGAUCGGGAAAGCUCCGACGGUCUGGGAUGGGCCCGCGGCCUAUCAGCUUGUUGGUGGGGUAACGGCCUACCAAGGCGACGACGGGUAGCUGGUCUGAGAGGACGACCAGCCGCACUGGAACUGAGACACGGUCCAGACUCCUACGGGAG
RNAcentral lists this ribosomal RNA (229 nucleotides) under uncultured bacterium. RNAcentral describes it as "partial 16S ribosomal RNA". It matches the Rfam family "Bacterial small subunit ribosomal RNA", at positions 118 to 347 of the family's 1533-position model. The record is from RNAcentral.